Molecule: ribosomal RNA, 483 nt
Filed under: uncultured bacterium
Lineage: Bacteria
Description: partial 16S ribosomal RNA
Rfam family: Bacterial small subunit ribosomal RNA
Source: RNAcentral
GACGAACGCUGGCGGCGUGCUUAACACAUGCAAGUCGAACGAUGAAGCUGGAGCUUGCUCCGGUGGAUUAGUGGCGAACGGGUGAGUAACACGUGAGCAAUCUGCCCUUGACUCUGGGAUAACUGCGGGAAACUGUAGCUAAUACCGGAUACGAGACUUGGAGGCAUCUCCAGGUCUGGAAAGAAUUUCGGUCAAGGAUGAGCUCGCGGCCUAUCAGCUAGUUGGUGAGGUAAUGGCUCACCAAGGCGACGACGGGUAGCCGGCCUGAGAGGGUGACCGGCCACACUGGGACUGAGACACGGCCCAGACUCCUACGGGAGGCAGCAGUGGGGAAUAUUGCACAAUGGGCGAAAGCCUGAUGCAGCAACGCCGCGUGAGGGAUGAAGGCCUUCGGGUUGUAAACCUCUUUUAGCAGGGAAGAAGCGAAAGUGACGGUACCUGCAGAAAAAGCACCGGCUAACUACGUGCCAGCAGCCGCCGCCG